This is a long non-coding RNA of Equus caballus (horse), 7420 nucleotides long. Lineage: Eukaryota; Metazoa; Chordata; Mammalia; Perissodactyla; Equidae. The record is from Ensembl.
AUGUCAGCACCUUUUAGGGUAAAGGAGGAAGGAAUCCUAACUCAUUAGCCAAUCAGGCUCUGAGGCCACUUCCCAAAGCGACUUCCUGUCUCUCCUCUUUCUCUCUCUCCGUUUUGGUGGUGGGCUGCAGGCCUUUAUUUCAAGCCAGCAUUGGACUGUGUGUAAGAGGCAAGGUGAUUAAUCUUGGCUGUGUGGAGACUGGAGGAAGGCAGUGAAAUGCUCUGCCUGGCUUGUUUCCACGUGGGCCUCUGCAGUCCUGGGUCUGCCUUCCUUCCUUGAGAACUGGUGACCCAGAACAACAGAUUCUGCUUCAUAUACAGAGUGCCUGUGUUCCUGAAAAAUGCCUGGAGGUUGAAGAUGGAAUCCACUGAGGAAGGCAGGCCUAGGUCUUCAGCAUCCUGUGUGCCAGUCCAGAAGUGGCACUGUGGAAGCCUCUAUAACAUCUGCGGCAGACCCCCUAAAAAUCAAGGGCCUGGGUCUGAACAUUCUCAGUAGGAAUGGUUAAAGGCUGAUGGGACCAUACAGGCAAGUACUUGAACUUUGACCAAGAUAUGAUGCCUUAAAGUGUUCUCUGUAUCACAUAUAUGUGUCUUUUCCAUCUAAAAAAGAUAGGAGGUUCUUUGAGUUACCAUUGUAUCUCAUAAUGCUGGAUACACAUUUGGCACUGAGGAAACUGGAAUGGAGCUAGGUAAAACUGAGUGGUAACAUAAUCUUAAAAUGGAAGCGUCAGCUGAUUGAGUAUUAUCAAUUUGCAGUUUGUAUCAGGCCUUCAUGAAGCAUCUGUUCACAUACUUAAAAUGUACCUAUUGGCCAUAAGCACCAGUACUUUGAAGCAUUUACUAGUGCCCACAGGGAACAAAAUGAGUGGGUCAUUGGUUGUUACGGGGUAUUUAUAAAAUAUUUACUUUAGCUCCCUAAAUAAUUCAGUAUAUGAAAUGGCCUUCAUGCAGUAGAAUGACACUUGCUGAAGCAUGACUAGAAUCCUGUAGGGAGCAUCACACAUUGGGAAAGGCAUCAUAUACUUCAUAUUAGGAUUUAUGUGCUAGGCUUUGCGCUAUGUGCCAAGGACACAAAGACCAGGCCCUUUGCAGUCUGGGUUUUGUUUGUUAGAUGAGACAAAUAGAGAAGUUGCACCUUUAAAUCAAUAAUUAUUUUCCUGUAAGAAGUACUUGGAUCAUGGAGUUUUGAGGUAGACAUUGUUAAAACUAUGGAAACCUCUAACUUCAUAUCUUGCUUCCUGUCUACGUUUCCUUAGUUAAUCUCACAUGCUGUUGAUUUGGAAACAUUUUACAUAAUUAAACAUUGUUCAAGUAUAAGACAAGAAAGGAGUAAAAUAACAGAUUAUAUCUCUGGGUUCCUUAAAACACCUCAGUUUCUUUCUGACCUACUGAGCCCAUAUGUCAUUCUUAAUACAUUCUAAGCAAACCAUCUUCUGUAGCUCUCCUUAUUUCACGUAGGUAGUGGCACCGUGAAUUGAAAAUAUGGAGUUUUGACAGAAUGAGGUUUAAAUUCUAGCUCUUAAUAGCUAGGCGACCUUAAGAAAUUCAUUUAACUUCUCUGAGCCUCAGAUUUGCUCGUAAAUAUGAGGUUGUUGUAAAGUUUGACUGAAAUGAUUUCUAUAGUUCUUGACAGAUAAUAGGGAUUUUUAAGAAUGAUUACCACUUCCUUUCUGUCAGCUUAUUUUAGUUAUACCCAUCCUUUAAGGCACUCCUGUCCAACAGAACUUUCUGUGAUGAUGGAAAUGUUCUAUAUUUGUACUGCCCCGUAUGAUAGCCAUUAGCCACGUGGGGCUCUUGACCAAUUAAAAUGUGACUGGGGUGACUGAGGAAUUUAACUUUUAUUUAAAUGGCAGCAUGUGGUGUUACCUAUUGGAAAGUGCGGUUUUUUUAAUUGAGAUAUAAUUGACGUAUAACAGUUUCACUUCUACAACAUAAUGAUUCAAUAUUUGUAUAUAUUGUGAAAUGAUCACCAUAAUAAGUCUAGUUAAGAUCCAUCACCACACCUAGCUACAAAUUUUUUUCUUCUGAGAACUUUUAAAAUCUACUCUCAGCAACUUUCAAAUAUAUAAUACAGUAUUUUAAGUGCAAUUUUAAGUCUCAUUCAAGACCCAUCUUCUUUCUUCAUGAAGUGUUCCUUGACCAAUGAUUCUUCUUUUCUUAACAUUUCAUAACUUGCUCUCUCACUUAUUUGGUACUUACCAUGGACAUUAGUUUUCAUGAAGCAUGUCUUUCUAGCUAGAUUGUAUUUAGGUUAUGGAUUUUUAAAUCUCCACAUUGCUACAUGAAAAGGAAUGUGACAAAAGUAUAACUAAUAUUUUUAGUUAAUAAGUUUUAAAUGAUCCUUAAAUGUGAUAGAAAAAAAAUUCUAGUUAGUAAUUAGGUGAAGAAUAGGGAAUAGUCUGAAGGUUGCUUGCAGGGAUGAACUUCAUGUCCAGUCUGUUUCACCUGAAAGUUCAGAUUACAUUCAAACUCUGGAAGAGGAAAUGAAAGCUGCUUUCUUAUAUUGCCGUCUUGUGGCUGACUUGGGCUCCAGAUGAUGCUAAUUCAAUUUUGCUAUGUCAAGGGAAGAUUUUCUUUAAUUUAUCGUGAUAAAAGUUUACCAAGAGUAAAGGUUAAAUGCAAUCUGCAUUAGCUCAAAUGAAAUUGAAAUAUGUUUGAAAAAAAACUUACUAUUUUGGAUUACCUUCUCAUUUAUCUGAAUUUUAUGAGUUCUUGGCUCCGGCCUUCCUCCCCUACCCCUGCUUUAUUUUUUUUAGGAUUUCGUGAAUUUGAUGACUGGUUACAAGUGUUUUCUGCAGUCACAUACCCCAUGCACUUGGAGAGGCUGGCAGUAAUCCAUGCCAUUUUUGCCCCGUCUCCCUGAAUUUGUUCCCAUGGUUUCCAAGCUCUGGUUGCCACCAGCACCUGGCUCCUUCCUUUUGCGUACCUGUUCUCUUAUUGUGAGACUGUUGACUUUUAUAAACGUUCAGAGAUUGGUUAGAGUUACAGUACAGUUUUACCCAAACUUUUAAAUUUAUGCCAAAAGCUGAGCUUUUGCAGAAGUCACACCUUAAUCUAAUGACUUUGGGAAUUAGGUGACAUUCUCUAAAUAGAUGGGUCAAUUUAUGUUACUGAAUGGAGAUUCAAAUAAAGAAUGAACAGUUUUCCUUGAGGUUAAUUUUCCUCGAGGCUGUGUGGGUAUGGCUUGGUGUGGAGUGGGCCAGUGCGCAUUUAAGUCUUCUAAUCAUAACCUUUGUGUAUUUUUUAACUUACUAUUUUUUUAUUUUCCAGAAAUGAUGCUAGGUAGCUGAUAGAUCUGUAGUUCAACUUGAUUCCUAGAUAGAAGCUGGAUUCAUCUAAUACCAGAAGUAAGUGUAAAAGAAAACCUUCAUUUUUACCUCAUUUGGAUUUCUAAUCAUCUAGCAAGUUUUGGUGCUCAGUGUUCUCUGUGGCUGAAAUUUGGUAGUUGAAGAAGCCUUAGUUCUAUCUUAACAGGGUUUUCCUGGUUUAGGGACAAGUAGUAGGCAGUGGUUUGCCCUUUACCAGUCAGUCAUUUGUAGUUUGCCAUGAUGAAAUGCAUGUUAAGUCCGUGUUUCAGCUGAUGACCCUGAUUAAACACAUGCUCUGAGCAGACUAUAGCUAGGGCAAACACUUGGAAUUGAAUUCUGCUUCUUGGAAUUCUUACUGGGAUCUAGGCCAUGAUCCCAGGGGAUUCUUAAAUCUUUGAAUCAUGAAUUUGAUACAAUACUUUGUUGUGCCUUGAUCUUUUGUGAUAUCUCUUUGAGAUAGAACUAAGGUCAAGAAUCCUUAAUCUAAAAAUUCAAACACUACAGAUAAAACACUGAUAACUGGUAGAAUUCUGUCAACACUUAUCUUGGCAGUUUUUAAACUAAUCAUUAUUUUAUUAGUUUAUAUAUAAGAUUAAGAGGAUCUUAGAGUUGGUUAAAUCAAUUUUUGUCAAGCUCAUAUAAUGCAACACUAUAUGGUUGCUUAAAAGUUAUAAUACAGGUUUAUCUUUCUUGGAAUGGAAGGGUAUUCAUGAUACAUUAAGUUAAAAACAAGUUAUAGAGCAAUAUGUAUAAUCCCUUUUCUGCUUAAACAUUUUUAUACAGUUAUGUUUACUUGAGAAAUCGUCUGAAAGGAUAUAUAGAUGAUCCCCAACUUAUAAUGGUUCAACUUAUGAUUUUUCGACUUUACAAUGGUGCAAAAGUCAUAUGCAUUCAGUAGAAGUCACACUUCAAAUUUUGAAUUUUGAUGUUUGCCUGGGCUAGUGAUAUGCAGUUCAAUACUCUCAGUGAGUUGGAGCUCCCAGUUAGCCAUGCCAUCAUGAGGGUAAAGAACUUACACACUUAACAACCAUUCUUUACCCAUACAACCAUUCUGUUUUUUACUUUCAUUACAGUUUUCAAUAAAUUACAUGAGAUAUUCAACACUUUAUUAUAAAAUAGGCUUUGUGUUAGAUGAUUUUGCCCAACUGUAGGCUAAUGUAAGUGUUCUGAGCACAUUUUAGGUAGCCUGGGCUAAGCUAUGAUGUUCAGUAGGUCAGGUGUGUUAAAUGCUUUUUCAACUUAACAAUAUUUUCCACUUACAAUGGGUUUAUCAGGACAUAUCCCUAUUGUAAGUUGAGGAAGAUCCGUACUCAGAUAGUAGGGAUUAUUGUCCUAGAGUUGGGCUAUUGGUAAUCUUGUUAACCUGAAUUUUCUGACUUUAUUAUAUUCACAUAUUGUAUAAUUUAAAGUUAUUUUAAGCAACCUAAAUGGGACAGGCCUAUAUUCUCUUCCUGUGCUUGCAUGUUUCAGCAGAUAAUGGGGUACAUAUGAGGGUGAAAUACAAAUAUUCAAAGUAAUAUCAGCACUUGAAAUGAUUUUUUCGCUUUUGCAGAAAUGAAAUCUCACGUUACUGAAACUAGAUCUGAGUCUCACUUCUUUCCCAGCCUGGAACUCCUGGGUGCUGUGAGUCCUGGAUAUAUAAUAGAUGGUGACAACAUCUUUCUUUUAUGCAUGAAGGUAGAUGAUUCUUCAAAUUAAAGAUGGAAGCUGACUUCUCACCAGAAAUGGUUUGUAGAAUCAACUUACAAAAAUGUCAGAGGCAGCGAAGGAAAGAGUAAAAUAUUUCUUUCUAUCAGCCUUCGAUUCUUUGCUAGAUUGUAAACUUCAUGAAAGCAGAAUAACUUCCUUAUCCCUAAUGCCUGGCCCAGAAUAGAUACUCAAAAAAUAGUUGAAAUGAAUGGAAAUCUCCCUUGGUUUUUUUUUUUUCUUCCUUUUUUAAUCUCUGGAAAAUGGCAACCAUCGUAAUGGCAUUUCCACAAGACAUUUACAUGGAAUAACUAGGACUUAAAUUUUGAUUCUGAUGUAAAAUGUACAUGUAGGUACAUUAAACUAUCUUGGUAAUAAUAAGUCUACUUAAAACUCUUAAUAUUUGAGGCCAGCCCCUUGGCCAAGUGGUUAGGUUCUCAUGCUCCACUUCGGCAGCAUAGGGUUUUGCUACUUUGAAUCCCAGGUGCAGACCUAACACUGCUCAUCAAGCCAUGCUGAGGCAGCGUCCCACAUAGCACAACUACAAGGACCUACAACUAGAGUAUACAACUGUGUACUGGGGGGUCUUGGGGAGAAGAAGAAGAAAAAAGAUUGGCAACAGAUGUUAGCUUAGGUGUCAGUCUUAAAAAAAAAACCUCAAUAUUUGAUUAUGACUUGAUCUUUCAAGAGGCAAUGAAGAAUGACUGCCAAAACAACGUACGUACGUAAGGAAUAGAUAUAUAAAAGCUUACUGAUAUUUAAUAGGAAAUCUUUUAUUAUGAACAGUUUAUUUAUAGCUUUAUUGGAUAUUUAUCACUGACAGAAAUUGCACUUACCACUCAUGUACGGUUAAACAGUCAUUAUUUCUGCUUUAUAUUUAAUAUUGAAAUAUUCUUAAUUGUUUUGGCUAAAUUAAUACCUUGGGACUUGUUUUUGCCCUGUAUACUGUAUUUACAUCCAUGAGGGUAUAUUUAACAUGCAAAGGGUACCAAAUACUCAUUCAAAUAAUGGAAGUCUGGUACAUCUCACUGUGUUUUGGAAUGAGAUUUAAUACUCAUGCUCAUACCAGAAUCACACAAAUGGUAUGCAACUAUAAUCACUUCUGUUAGAGUAUGAAAUCUAUUUUUUAGAUUAAGAUCCUUCUAUUAAAACAAAUAGAAGUAUCAAAUUAGUUUUAGAGUAGAUGAUGCUAACAGUCUAAGAUUCAAAGAUAACGGAAUAAUUAUCUCAAACUCUUGGAGAAAUAUGGUAUGUAAAUACUCAUAAUAUACCUGAUAUUUACUUAGAAUAUCUAUGCAAGAUCAAAAUCAAACUUCAUGGUAAAAAUACCAGUUUUGAAAGGUGAAAGUAACCUGUAAUUAAAUGGUAUAAGUAAUUUAUAAGCACAAAUUGUGCUGACAGAGUUUAUCCAGACUCCUUACCAUAGAAAGAAUAGAUUAAGGAUCUAUAAGUGAAAAGCAAAAUUUAAACCUAUAGAAAAGCAAAGACUGUGACAUUGGAGUACAUAUAAGCACAAAAAGGAAAGUGAUAAAUUUGUGCACACUAAAAUGUUUGCAUACCUUGCACCUGACAAAGGACUCCAUAUGAAUCAAGAAAAUGAUCAAAGGAUAUGAACGGGCAAUUCAUAGAUGAGGAUCCCUGAGUAGUCAUUCAUAGGAAAAGAUGCUUAAUCUCACUAGUAAUCAAAGAAUUGCACAUUAAAACAACAUUGAUAUACAAUUUUACUGCCAUUAGAUGGGCAAAAAUGAAAACAACAUAAACCUCACACUUCCACACAUUGCUAAGUCUGGAGUGUUGGGCUCUCAUCAUUUCUGGUGUCACUGAAAUUUGCUGUUACUUUGGAGAAUGGUUUGGCAGCAUCUAGUUUAUUUGAAGAUGCUUAUACACUAACCCAAUCUCUGGGUAUUAUACUUUAUAGGAAUUCUUGGCAUGUGUACUCAAGGAGAUAUACAGAAAGUUCACUGUGGUAUUGUUUUUAAUUGUAAAAACCUGGAACCAAUGUCCAUUAGAAGGAUGGAUAAAUAAAUUGUGGUAUAUUUGUAGUAUUUGGCUGUUAAAAUGAAUUAACAUAAAGUAUGUAUUAACUUGAUUACAUCUCAAAAAUAAUGAUGACUUAAAAAUGACCAAGUGAUAUGUGCUGUGUGAUAAGAUUUAGCAGUUUUAGAACACGCAAAAGUGUUGUGUACACUUUUAAAAGUGUAAAAGCAUGCAUAAAUACCAAAAUCUGGUUUGUUUACCUUCAGAGGAGGAGGAGAAAGGUAGAUUGAGGUGUACACAGGGAAUGCUUCAAUUGUAUCUGCAGUGUUACUGCAUUAAAAAAUAGCAAAUGUGAGAAAGGUUUGGGUUUAUUAAAGCUGAGUGAUGGUGAUUCUCCACACAUUUUUGAUAUGCUUGAUAUUUGAUAAUAAAAGCCAAUAUUUUAAAAAG